Molecule: non-coding RNA, 181 nt
Organism: Camelina sativa (false flax)
Lineage: Eukaryota; Viridiplantae; Streptophyta; Magnoliopsida; Brassicales; Brassicaceae
Source: RefSeq, a predicted model, not a curated record
GUGUGCUUUUGGCAAUAUAAAGUUUGAAGACAUCAUUAAAGUGAUCCGUAUGGAAGAUAAAAUGUUAUGUGACAUUAAAACAAGAGGGUGUGGAAAGGCAAACUUUGUUCGUCAUACUAUAAGUAGAUCCCCGCCUAUCUUCACAAUUGUGUUGGAAUGGGAGAAGAAUGAAACUGAAAAA